Molecule: ribosomal RNA, 626 nt
Filed under: uncultured bacterium
Lineage: Bacteria
Description: bacterial SSU rRNA
Rfam family: Bacterial small subunit ribosomal RNA
Source: RNAcentral
UUGGUGGGGUGAUGGCCUACCAAGGCGACGACGGAUAGCCGGCCUGAGAGGGUGACCGGCCACACUGGGACUGAGACACGGCCCAGACUCCUACGGGAGGCAGCAGUGGGGAAUAUUGCGCAAUGGGCGAAAGCCUGACGCAGCGACGCCGCGUGGGGGAUGAAGGCCUUCGGGUUGUAAACCUCUUUCACCACCGACGAAGCUAACGUGACGGUAGGUGGGGAAGAAGCGCCGGCUAACUACGUGCCAGCAGCCGCGGUAAUACGUAGGGCGCAAGCGUUGUCCGGAAUUAUUGGGCGUAAAGAGCUCGUAGGCGGUCUGUCACGUCUGCCGUGAAAACCCGAGGCUUAACCUCGUGGCUUGCGGUGGAUACGGGCAGACUAGAGGUAGGUAGGGGAGAACGGAAUUCCCGGUGUAGCGGUGAAAUGCGCAGAUAUCGGGAGGAACACCGGUGGCGAAGGCGGUUCUCUGGGCCUUACCUGACGCUGAGGAGCGAAAGCAUGGGGAGCGAACAGGAUUAGAUACCCUGGUAGUCCAUGCCGUAAACGUUGGGCGCUAGGUGUGGGGUCCUUCCACGGAUUCCGUGCCGUAGCUAACGCAUUAAGCGCCCCGCCUGGGGAGUACGG